UCUUGAGUUUAGGCGUUUUUU
Caenorhabditis elegans is the source of this 21-nucleotide non-coding RNA. Lineage: Eukaryota; Metazoa; Nematoda; Chromadorea; Rhabditida; Rhabditidae. The record is from Ensembl.